RNAcentral lists this small nucleolar RNA (156 nucleotides) under Pteropus vampyrus (large flying fox). Its description in RNAcentral is "Small nucleolar RNA SNORA53 (ENSPVAG00000029336.1)". The stretch from base 35 to 156 matches the Rfam family "Small nucleolar RNA SNORA53". From Rfam's summary of the family: The snoRNA ACA53 belongs to the H/ACA family of pseudouridylation guide snoRNAs. Lineage: Eukaryota; Metazoa; Chordata; Mammalia; Chiroptera; Pteropodidae. The record is from RNAcentral.
UAAAGCAUUAUACAGAUUUAAUGCAAUUCCUUAUCAAACUCUAGUGGUAUUUUUAAAAGAAAUACAACAUGUAUGUUAGUCUUAAGUUCUGAUUGAAAUGACAUGCAUUUGUGCUGCCAUUUUUUACUAUCAAGACUUGACUGUUGUGUGGACAGU